This 775-nucleotide ribosomal RNA is filed under the name uncultured Neocallimastigales. Its description in RNAcentral is "partial large subunit ribosomal RNA". It matches the Rfam family "Eukaryotic large subunit ribosomal RNA", at positions 23 to 647 of the family's 3401-position model. Lineage: Eukaryota; Fungi; Neocallimastigomycota; Neocallimastigomycetes; Neocallimastigales. The record is from RNAcentral.
AGAGAGAGACAUGCGCGCAUAUCAAUAAGCGGAGGAAAAGAAACUAACAAGGAUUCCCCUAGUAACGGCGAGUGAAGCGGGAAGAGCUCAAAUUUGAAAUCUUAAAGGGUUUCCCUUUACGAAUUGUAGUUUAAAGAAGUGUUUUCUGUUGAGGUUUUGGUAAAAGUUCUUUGGAAUAGGACAUCAUAGAGGGUGAGAAUCCCGUAUUUGACCUUUACUUUCAACUUUGUGAUACACUUUCAAAGAGUCGGAUUGUUUGGGAAUGCAGUCCAAAAUGGGUGGUAAAUUUCAUCUAAAGCUAAAUAUUGGCGAGAGACCGAUAGCGAACAAGUACCGUGAGGGAAAGAUGAAAUAGAACUUUGAAAAGAGAGUUAAACAGUACGUGAAAUUGUCAAAAGGGAAGCGUUUGACACCAGUGUUGUUUUUCUGAAAAUCAAUUAAAGAACUGUUUAUGCUAAGCUGUUUAGACUUUAUCAGCUAACUGUUUAGUUUUGAGCUUUUCUUUAAUGCACUUUUUAGUUAACAAGUCAACAUCAAUUUCUUUUGCUGUAAAAAAGCUUGAGGAAGGUGGCUUGAGAUUCGUCUUAAGUGUUUAUAGCCUCUUGCCUAUGCAGUCGGAGAGAUUGAGGUCUGCAGCGUAGAUCCUUCGGGGCUAAAUGCAUUUGUGCUAAGUUAUAGCAUUUUAUAGACAACUUGUUGACUAUGAUUUGUCUUGUAGCUUACUCGCUUAUGUUAUUUUACCUACGCUUAGGAUGUUGACGCAUGAGAUAUACGC